CCUUUCCUAACUGUUGAAACUCUGGUCGACUACAUCGCACCUCCUCUGUCUGUAUCAUUCUCACUUGUUAAUUGUGAACACUCAGAGGCAGCAGGAGUUUGGCUGUGACCGCAGACGUCGACAAACAACUGACAACCUUUCAAUAAACUGAGAAAAAAGAUGUCUUUUCCCGGGAAUAUCGUUUACUUUGACCUUGAAACAACAGGACUGAACACGCAAGUGUGUGAGAUCGUUCAACUGGCUGCUGUCUGUGGAGAGAGGAUCUUCAAUGUCUACAUCCUCCCUACAUGUGCCAUCAAUCCAAAAGCCUCUGAGAUCACAGGCUUUACUGUUAGCGGUGGUUUUCUGUACCGCAACGGGGUUGUGGUUCCCACCGUUUCGCUCUUCGAUGCUCUUAAGUCAUUCGUAACGUUCCUUCACUCCUUGCAGCGCCCUCUGCUGCUGGCAGCCCAUUAUGCACGGGGUUUUGACAUACCGAUACUUACCAGAGUCAUGAAUCAGCACAACCUCUUACAGCCGUUAAGAAUGGUUGUAUCUCAAUAUCUGGAUACUUUAGAACUUAGCAGGGCUCUCUAUCCCGAGCUGCCACGCUACUCACUGCAAUAUUUGGUUGAGGUUUUCUUGAAAAGGCAACAUGACGCCCAUAAUGCUGUGGAAGAUGCGAGGUUCCUGCAGGCGCUCAUCCAGUACAUGAGUCCUUCAAAGUUUAACACCUCCCAGUUUAUUUAUGAAUUGUAAUACAAAAUGUAUUAGCUGCAGAAGAAAACGGUGGAAAAAUAUGAAUAAAAAAAGUAAAUAAUGUCGGUUAAUCGUGAUGUUUUUGACACGGUUUUAAUGUGACUCAAAUUUUGUAAUUAUUCCACUUCAUUGUGACACACAGUAACAAAACCAACAGGUUAAAUGUAUUGGCAUGCCAAAUAAAAGAUAAUAAAUAAUAUAGGUGCAUAAAGUUUUAUUUUUUCAGCAAAACUGUGUCAGUUUGCGGAUUCCGAACGAAAACAAACAACGCAAUUUAUUCUGUCCGAAAAAAAAUAACACGGAAACAAUGACUAUCAAGUAAAAUGGAAGGACUGGCUCAUGUUUAAUUGUAUUAUUGAUCUGAAAAAGUAAAAAAAAAAAAAGAUGCGACGGAACAUUUUCCAAAUGUAUUUAAUCACAUCUCUAAGUUUCAUUACGUACGCCAUCUUGUAUAUCGUUGAACUGAGCUGUUAUUUUGAAAGGCUCGGAUUUCCGGUGGAAAUGGCUUAAAAUUCGUGGAGGGAAAUUUCCGUACUUGUUUCACGUCGACUCAAACGCACGUCCGUGAGGUUAACGCCAAAGAAAAACCACUCGGACUUAUUGUGAUGGACAUUAGAAUGUUUGUGCCGUAGUCAUUGGCCUUGGACUCUUCUGAUGUGGCGUGAUGCAGCAAUCAGAAUCAGACGCAGAGAUUUCUGAACAUUCGCUGGUUUUCUUUGACCUGGAAACGACUGGACUGGUGUUGUCUGUUCAGGUCAGAGUUCUGACAUUGUCCAGCUGGCUGCAGUGAGUGGAGGCCACUCGCUCAAUCUCUACGUCAUCCCUCGGACUCGAAUGCAUAAGGGAGCAUCGAAAGUGACUGGUUUUAAGGUUCGCAGACAGAGGCUGUUUCUCCAUCGCCAGUGUGUGCUUACCAACUCCCUGCGUGAGGUCCUGGUGUCUUUCAUUGCUUUCCUUCGAAUGCUCAGACGCCCGCUUGUGAUUGGCCACAACAGUCGUCGUUUUGACUGCCGUUUGCUGGCUCGAGCUCUUGAUGAACUGGACCUCAGGGCACUUUUUGAGUCAUCCAUUUCAGGCUGUGUUGAUACACUUCCACUUGCCCGUGAGUUGCUGAAAGACCGCAGCCUACACAGUUUUCGACAGCAGAAUCUGGUGAGUGAGCUGUUGGGUGUGGACUACAGAGCCCAUGAUGCUUUAGAAGAUGUGCGGGCAUUGCAGGCUCUCUAUGAGGUGCUUCAGCCAACACCCGAGGUACUUAGGAGACACAUCUUUACAUUGGACACCAUUGAAAGCAAUGUGGCUGUGACUGCUGCCAAAAGUGAAUCACCCUGUAUGAUGCCAGGUCAGCGCCCUCUGUGGGAGCACUUUAAAGAAACGGUGAAAGUAACGGAGAACAACAAUAGAGAAGAAUUCACUGGCAUCCUUUACAAACCUUCACUGGAAUCUGCAACCUAAAACAUGUUGGAAUACUCCUUGACCUCUUGUAUUUUCUGCUGUUAAAUCUUUAGACACCUAUAGUAAAUUAACCUUUAAUAAAUUGUGACCUUCACAAGAUGCAGCUUCUGCUAAUUUGUUGUUCGUGUGUACAAAAAUAAUAUAAUUAUUUUGUUUUGGAAGUUUUAUUUAAGUUUAAUAAAUGUGCUAAAAACCA
Molecule: RNA transcript, 2389 nt
Organism: Cynoglossus semilaevis (tongue sole)
Lineage: Eukaryota; Metazoa; Chordata; Actinopteri; Pleuronectiformes; Cynoglossidae
Gene: plex9.2
Gene name: PML-like exon 9.2
Exons: 4
Source: RefSeq, a predicted model, not a curated record